AAGUCGUAACAAGGUUUCCGUAGGUGAACCUGCGGAAGGAUCAUUAAAAGAUAUGGCAUAUUCCAUGUGGAUAUACCCAAUCAACCCAUUCUGAGUACCUUACCUGUUGCUUCCACACAGUGUCAGUGCAUUAGUACUGACAUUCAGACGAUAGUGAAAACUUAUCCGAUGGAGAUGUGUGGAGGAUAUACAUUAAACUCUUGCAUUACCAUGUAUUCUGUCUGAUUAUGUUUAAUACAAAAUAUUAAAACUUUCAACAACGGAUCUCUUGGUUCUC
RNAcentral lists this unclassified non-coding RNA (277 nucleotides) under fungal sp. Its description in RNAcentral is "partial contains small subunit ribosomal RNA, internal transcribed spacer 1, and 5.8S ribosomal RNA". The stretch from base 1 to 46 matches the Rfam family "Eukaryotic small subunit ribosomal RNA", at positions 1786 to 1831 of the family's 1831-position model. RNAcentral also lists the same sequence under 3 other names. Lineage: Eukaryota; Fungi. The record is from RNAcentral.